GUGAGGAAUAUUGGUCAAUGGGCGAGAGCCUGAACCAGCCAAGUCGCGUGAAGGAAGAAGGAUCUAUGGUUCGUAAACUUCUUUUGCAGGGGAAUAAAGUGCAGGACGUGUCCUGUUUUGUAUGUACCCUGAGAAUAAGGAUCGGCUAACUCCGUGUCAGCAGCCGCGGUAAUACGGAGGAUCCGAGCGUUAUCCGGAUUUAUUGGGUUUAAAGGGUGCGUAGGUGGUUUGAUAAGUCAGCGGUGAAAGUUUGCAGCUUAACUGUAAAAAUGCCGUUGAAACUGUCGGACUUGAGUGUAAAUGAGGUAGGCGGAAUGCGUGGUGUAGCGGUGAAAUGCAUAGAUAUCACGCAGAACUCCGAUUGCGAAGGCAGCUUACUAAGCUACAACUGACACUGAAGCACGAAAGCGUGGGGAUCAAACAGGAUUAGAUACCCGAGUAGUCC
This 445-nucleotide ribosomal RNA is filed under the name uncultured bacterium. RNAcentral describes it as "partial 16S ribosomal RNA". It matches the Rfam family "Bacterial small subunit ribosomal RNA", at positions 354 to 796 of the family's 1533-position model. The record is from RNAcentral.